Molecule: ribosomal RNA, 465 nt
Filed under: Vreelandella stevensii
Lineage: Bacteria; Pseudomonadati; Pseudomonadota; Gammaproteobacteria; Oceanospirillales; Halomonadaceae
Description: partial 16S ribosomal RNA
Rfam family: Bacterial small subunit ribosomal RNA
Source: RNAcentral
CCUACGGGGGGCAGCAGUGGGGAAUAUUGGACAAUGGGGGGAACCCUGAUCCAGCCAUGCCGCGUGUGUGAAGAAGGCCCUCGGGUUGUAAAGCACUUUCAGUGAGGAAGAACGCCUGGUGGUUAAUACCCAUCAGGAAAGACAUCACUCACAGAAGAAGCACCGGCUAACUCCGUGCCAGCAGCCGCGGUAAUACGGAGGGUGCGAGCGUUAAUCGGAAUUACUGGGCGUAAAGCGCGCGUAGGUGGCUUGAUAAGCCGGUUGUGAAAGUCCCGGGCUCAACCUGGGAACGGCAUCCGGAACUGUCAAGCUAGAGUGCAGGAGAGGAAGGUAGAAUUCCCGGUGUAGCGGUGAAAUGCGUAGAGAUCGGGAGGAAUACCAGUGGCGAAGGCGGCCUUCUGGACUGACACUGACACUGAGGUGCGAAAGCGUGGGUAGCAAACAGGAUUAGAUACCCGUGUAGUC